Molecule: ribosomal RNA, 440 nt
Filed under: uncultured bacterium
Lineage: Bacteria
Description: partial 16S ribosomal RNA
Rfam family: Bacterial small subunit ribosomal RNA
Source: RNAcentral
CCUACGGGAGGCAGCAGUGGGGAAUAUUGCACAAUGGGGGAAACCCUGAUGCAGCGACGCCGCGUGAGUGAAGAAGUAAUUCGUUAUGUAAAGCUCUAUCAGCAGGGAAGAAAAUGACGGUACCUGAGUAAGAAGCCCCGGCUAACUACGUGCCAGCAGCCGCGGUCAUACGUAGGGGGCAAUCCUUAUCUGGAUUUACUGGGUGGAAAGGGAGCGUAGACGGCAGGGCAAGUCUGGUGUGAAAGGCGGGGGCUCAACCCGCGGACUGCACUGGAUACUGUACGGCUGGAGGGCAGGAGAGGUAAGUGGAAUUCCUGGUGUAGCGGUGAAAUGCGGAGAUAUUAGGAGGAACACCAGUGGCGAAGGCGGCUUACUGGACUGUAACUGACGUUGAGGCUCGAAAGCGUGGGGAGCAAACAGGAUUAGAUACCCCGGUAGUC